Chlorocebus sabaeus (green monkey) is the source of this 3274-nucleotide non-coding RNA. The record is from RefSeq and is a predicted model, not a curated record. Lineage: Eukaryota; Metazoa; Chordata; Mammalia; Primates; Cercopithecidae.
UUCAUCCCAGCCUGCAGGAAAGGCUGAAAGUGACUCCUCUGCCCAGAUUAUGCCAACGAGUAUGCUGAGCAAGGGGGUAGCUAGGAGGGAGGUCUCUUCUGUCUCCCUGUGACCUCCUCAUCUCUCCUGGCCACCCCUCUCUGCAGCCCCUUCACGUGACUACUGGCUCAAAAUGGCGCUUCCCUCCCCUCCCUCCCCUGCUGGCAUCUCGAUUGUUCCAAGCAGAGCUCCCAUCCAUAAUAGCUGCUUCCCUGCCUCCCUUCUCAGAGGACAACUCCUUACCAAGGACUUACCUGGAAAAGAUUUACCCUGGACAGGACGGUCCCAGCCUAGGAGGGGAACUCCUGUGGAGAGACUCCUCUCUCAGGAGAUGGGAGAAAACUUAGAGUAAAAAUGCCCCAAGUAUGGACCCCCGCCUUACUGUGAGGCUCAUCCGUAAGUCUCUGAAUCAGGCUCCUGCAUCCUGGACCAUCCCAUCUGCAUCCUGGACCAUCCCAUCUGCAUCCUUGCCUCACAGUCCCCCAGAGCAGGCCAAAGGAUGGUGCAGCAAGAAGACCCUUGCAGGAUGCCAGCCUCUUGAUCUUGGACUUCCCAGCCAUCAGAACUGUGAGAAAUAAAUUUCUGUUCGUUAUAAAUUGCCCAGUCUGUGUAUUCUGUUACAACAGCAGAAAACGACCCAAGACACCAUGCUUCUUGUUUCUAGGGAUCUGUUAAGUAUAAACUUCUUCUUUUGUGCCAGUCAUUUUGUGUCUGUGUAUCUUACCAUACCGAAUUAAAAUAAAUCCAGAGUACUUUUUUUGACACGGCCUGUAUGCAUGCAUAUGUGUCAGUGUAUUUGUGUUUGUGUCUCUGUAUGUGUAUGUAUGUUUAUGUAUCUGUGUGUGUGUAUGAUGGGGUAUGCAGGUAGGCAUGAAUACAAGGAAAUGAGCUGAUUUACUCUGUAGAACUUCAACAGCUCAGGAUUUGGGGCAGCAGUGUCAUAGCUGAAUCAUGUUCUCUCUCACCCCCAAAGAUGCUGAGGUCCUAACCUCAGUAUUUCAGAAUGGGACCUUAUUUGGAGCAGGGUAUUUACAGAGGUAAUCACAUUAAAAUGAAGUCAUUAGAGUGAGAUCUAAUCCAAGAUGAUUGUGUCCUUACAAAAGGGGAAAUUUGGAUUCAGAGAUAGACACAAUAGAAGAAAGGCAACACGAAGACAUGGGGAGAGCACCAUCUCCGAGCCAGGGAACACUCAAGGCUAUCAGCAGCCAGGAGAGAGGCCUGGAACAGACUGUCUCUUGAAUCAAAGAAUCAACCCUGCAACACCCUGAUUUCAAAUUUCUAGUCUCCUGAAUUGUGAGAAAAUUUCUGCUGUUUAAGCCACUCAGUGUGUGGUACUUUGUUACAACAGCCCCAGGAAACUAAUACAACCAUAGACUAAGGAAGGUGGGGAGAGAUAUGGGGCUGAAAAUGCAGGAAGAUUUGAAAGUCUAUAUAUUAAAGGAUUGAUCCUCAGGAUCCUUUUUCUUGGCAGCCUGAAAAAUGCCCAUUCCUCAGGCAUAAUUUCUGUCCUCCACAUCUGCCUCAUCUUCUGCUGCCCAUAGGAGAUUUUUUUUUUUUUUUUUCCCCUAGGGAAGUUAAACCAGAGACUCUCUGUCUCAAGUUCCCAGUUACUGCAGAAAGUGAGUGUGUCUCAGGACUGAAAACUGAUAUGAAAUGGAGAUGUUGCAGGGCCCUUUCUGAACUUUUCUCAAGAACUUAGACAACCAAGAAUAUACCAUUGGCUCCCCCAUCCUGCCUCUACCUAUACAGAACUGGAGAAAGUAGAAAAUUAUUUUCUGGAAAAUCUGAAUGAUUAUAAAGCACAGACCCUACAUACCGACAUUUCUGGAUCCUCCAAUAAAAAAGCUAGCAUAUUGCCCUUACAGAAAGGCAUUACAAAAAACAUUAAAGGAUCUCAGGCUAUGAAAUUUAAUGCUCAUAGUUAUAAAAAGAGAGAACCAUGAAAAUGGAAAAGUAUAAUUUACCAAAGGAGUAAUACAAGAACAACUGUAUGAAAGAAUAUAUUUUCCAAUUGAAGGGGACGAUCUACUAUCUAGUGCUGGUACAAGAAGACAAUAAGAAAACUUGUCUGUAUUGGCUUGUAUUCUGCAUGUCGUGAGAAAAACGUGAAGAAUUUACAACCAUUGGUUUGCACCAUGCAGUUUGCUUUAUUUAUGCUCCUUAUAUCUUUUAGGAGGCCCCUAAGUGACAACUUUUGAAAAGUGGCCUUUGGCUACUGUAUCCCUGUGGAGUGCCAGGCACAAGUUAUUCCAAAACUUUUCUGGAGGAACACACCUUCAAGUCCACAAAUAAGUGUAGAGGAAGAUGAGCUCACAAGCCAAAAUUAGAAAACACAAGAGAAACACUCAAGAGUCCACAGACAAACCAGAGGACACUAUUAGAUGCUCAAGAGUUUCUUGCAAUACAAUAAUCAGAUGAAGAAUGGAAAAAUAACAAUGACCAGCUAUUCAAGAAGAUAAAAGGAGGAUUUGAAAAUAUGAAAGAAGAGUGAGACACUAUCAAAAAGAUCAGACACACUCAAAAAGGAACCAGAUAGAACUUUUAGAAAUAAAUAAUACAGUCAUGAAUUUACAUAAAAGUCAAAGAAUGUGCUAAACUGUAGAUGAGAGAGCUGAAGAGAUGCAAAAGAUAGGUUUAAAAAAUUGAAAUGUGGCACAGAGAGAUGGAAAACAGGAAGGAGUAGGUAAAAGAUACAGGGAGAAAUUGAUGAGAUCCACCAUAUCCAGUACAGUACCAGAAGGAGAGGAGAGAGAAAGAAGUUGAAUGCUCUAUCUUACAACUGAGGGAUCUUGGUCAACUUCCUUAACCUUUCUAGGUUUCAGUUUCCUUCUCUGUAGGAAACUGAGGUUCAAUAAUAGUAACUAUUCCAGAGGGUUGUUAGGAGAUUUGUUAAGUUAAUAAUUGUAAAGUGCUUAGGACAGUCCUGGCACAUAGUAAAUGUUGUAAGGCUUAUUAAGUGAAAAAAAAUAUGAAUGUUUACUGUAAGAGAUUAUCUACUUGAAAUGGUCAACUGCUAUGAGAGGGAGAACUUAUUCACCACUCUUAUGCUAAUUAACCAUUUGAUUAUUACCUCCCUGAUCUUUUAAAAGUUUCAUGCUCUGCCAGCUGAGCUAACUGGGCAUGUCCUCUUUGAUCUUUAAUACUGAACUAAUUCAUAAGAAUUAUACAACUUCUUGUUAAGUUCCAAAAAUAUUAAAAAGUAUAAUUCCAAAACACCAUUACUUGCAAAAGUUCU